GCGGGUGUGGUCUAGCGGUAUGACGCUGGCUUCCCAAGCCAGUUGCCCGGGUUCGAAUCCCGGCACCCGCA
This 71-nucleotide transfer RNA is filed under the name Thermoplasmata archaeon. Its description in RNAcentral is "tRNA-Gly". It matches the Rfam family "tRNA". From Rfam's summary of the family: Transfer RNA (tRNA) molecules are approximately 80 nucleotides in length. Their secondary structure includes four short double-helical elements and three loops (D, anti-codon, and T loops). RNAcentral also lists the same sequence under 1 other name. Lineage: Archaea; Methanobacteriati; Thermoplasmatota; Thermoplasmata. The record is from RNAcentral.